GUAGUCUCGCACAGAUGCAUAUCAAUAAGCGGAGGAAAAGAAACUAACAAGGAUUCCCCUAGUAACGGCGAGUGAAGCUGGGAAGAGCUCAAAUUUGAAAUCUUAAAGGGUUUCCCUUUACGAAUUGUAGUUUAAAGAAGUGUUUUCUGUUGAGGUUUUGGUAAAAGUUCUUUGGAAUAGGACAUCAUAGAGGGUGAGAAUCCCGUAUUUGACCUUUACUUUCAACUUUGUGAUACACUUUCAAAGAGUCGGAUUGUUUGGGAAUGCAGUCCAAAAUGGGUGGUAAAUUUCAUCUAAAGCUAAAUAUUGGCGAGAGACCGAUAGCGAACAAGUACCGUGAGGGAAAGAUGAAAAGAACUUUGAAAAGAGAGUUAAACAGUACGUGAAAUUGUCAAAAGGGAAGCGUUUGACACCAGUGUUGUUUUUCUGAAAAUCAAUUAAAGAACUGUUUAUGCUAAGCUGUUUAGACUUUAUCAGCUAUCUGUUUAGUUUUGAGCUUUUCUUUAAUGCACUUUUCAGUUAACAAGUCAACAUCAAUUUCUUUUGCUGUAAAAAAGCUUGAGGAGGGUGGCUUGAGAUUCGUCUUAAGUGUUUAUAGCCUCUUGCCUAUGCAGUCGGAGAGAUUGAGGUCUGCAGCGUAGAUCCUUCGGGGCUAAAUGCAUUUGUGCUAAGUUAUAGCAUUUUAUAGACAACUUGUUGACUAUGAUUUGUCUUGUAGCUUACUCGCUUAUGUUAUUUUACCUACGCUUAGGAUGUUGAAGACUCUACAGAGAUA
This 775-nucleotide ribosomal RNA is filed under the name uncultured Neocallimastigales. RNAcentral's name for it is "partial large subunit ribosomal RNA". It matches the Rfam family "Eukaryotic large subunit ribosomal RNA", at positions 24 to 633 of the family's 3401-position model. The record is from RNAcentral. Lineage: Eukaryota; Fungi; Neocallimastigomycota; Neocallimastigomycetes; Neocallimastigales.